RNAcentral lists this ribosomal RNA (505 nucleotides) under uncultured bacterium. RNAcentral describes it as "partial 16S ribosomal RNA". It matches the Rfam family "Bacterial small subunit ribosomal RNA", at positions 28 to 507 of the family's 1533-position model. The record is from RNAcentral.
GACGAACGCUGGCGGCGUGCCUAAUACAUGCAAGUAGAACGCACAGUUUAUACCGUAGCUUGCUACACCAUAGACUGUGAGUUGCGAACGGGUGAGUAACGCGUAGGUAACCUGCCUGGUAGCGGGGGAUAACUAUUGGAAACGAUAGCUAAUACCGCAUAAUCUUGAUUAUUGCAUGAUAAUUGAUUGAAAGAUGCUAUUGCAUCACUAACAGAUGGACCUGCGUUGUAUUAGCUAGUAGGGGAGGUAACGGCUCACCUAGGCGACGAUACAUAGCCGAGCUGAGAGGGUGAUCGGCCACACUGGGACUGAGACACCGCCCCGACUCCCACGGGAGGCAGCAGUAGGGGAUCUUCGGCAAUGGGCGAAAGUCUGACCGAGCAACGCCGCGUGAGUGAAGAAGGUUUUCGGGUCGUAAAGCUCUGUUGUAAGAGAAGAACGGGUGUGAGAGUGGAAAGUUCACACUGUGACGGUAUCUUACCAGAAAGCGACGGCUAACUACGUG